This 440-nucleotide ribosomal RNA is filed under the name uncultured bacterium. RNAcentral describes it as "partial 16S ribosomal RNA". It matches the Rfam family "Bacterial small subunit ribosomal RNA", at positions 338 to 795 of the family's 1533-position model. The record is from RNAcentral.
CCUACGGGGGGCAGCAGUAGGGAAUAUUGCACAAUGGGGGAAACCCUGAAGCAGCAACGCCGCGUGGACGAUGAAGGUUUUCGGUUUGUAAACCCCUUUUGUCAGAGAAGAUAAUGACGGUAUCUAACGAAUAAGCACCGGCUAACUACGUGCCAGCAGCCGCGGUAAUACGUAGGGGGCAAGCGUUACUCGGAUUUACUGGGCGUAAAGAGCGCGUAGGCGGGAUAGCAAGUCAGAUGUGAAAGCCUAUGGCUCAACCCGGGAACUGCAUUUGAAACUGUUAUGCUAGAGUGUGGGAGAGGUAGGUGGAAUUCUUGGUGUAGGGGUAAAAUCCGUAGAGAUCAAGAGGAAUACUCAUUGCGAAGGCGACCUGCUAGAACAUAACUGACGUUGAUGCGCGAAAGCGUGGGGAGCAAACAGGAUUAGAUACCCGUGUAGUC